AUCGGCCCGAUGUCGCUAGCGCUCCACCAAUCCCUCGCACGCCUCCUCCUCUCCCAAAUCCCCAAUCCCGUCGCCCGGUUCCUCCUCCCCAAUCCCAGGCCUCGCACCGCGCCCCAUUCCCCGACGCUCCUCUCCAUCGGCGGCAUCCGCUGCUUCGCGCCGCCACCCCGUCGUCAUUGCUAGGGCCGCCUCCCCUUCCCGCCCCUUCCUUCCUCAGCGCACGUCGUCGUCCCCACCCCGACGCUCGCCGUCAUAGCCUUCUUCGUCGAGUCAGCGCUCGAGGACGCGGAGCAGAAGCCCUCCAUAGGGGCGCUCGUGCUGGAGACGGCGGCGAGGUGAGCACGAAGGAGUUGCAGCCUUGAGGCACCUCCACCUCGCGCCCCACCCCAUCUCUCACCCAAUCUCCUCCCUCUCCACUCCACAUCGUGGUAGAGCCGCCGCCACCACGCCAUAUCCUCGUCGAGCCACCACCCCAUGUAGUGGUCGACCUUGUCGCGUUGCCGUCGCCGUCGCCUGGAGGGAGCAUAGGCGGCCGCUCGCACCACCACCGCGGGAUGUCGCCAUUACCGGGAGGAGGUUUGCGGAAGGGGAAUCGGCAGAUUGAUGCGGGGGAUUGAGCAAAGAGUGAACGAGGGUGGCCUCGGGCCGCCAGCGAGCUCGCCCUCUCGUCCUCAUGGGGGACGCUGUCGUCCGGGCAACGUCUUCCUGUGCGGUCUCCGGCUCUAUCGGGAGAUUUAGGAUGACGGUCUACGCGGCCUUCGCUCUUCGGUACUGUCGGGAGAUUGAGGCGGACGGUCUACGCGGCCUCCGGCACUGUCGGGAGAUUGGGGAGGAUGGUCGUCCAGCUCAGAGAUCCGGCCUCCUCAUCUCCAUCCACAUCACCAGGACGCGCACCUGUAGCUUGACCCUUACACCGUCCUCUGAAGUGCUUCUCCCAGAUAUGGCUCAACACUGUUGAUUCAACAGGGCUUGGUGAUGCGGCUCCGGCACAGGCUGUAUGGCCUUGUUUUCCAAGAUUGAUAUGUCAUCGGAGAUGAUUCGCUGACUAGAUGAGCAAGGUAACCAAGCUGAGGAGAGACCUGUUGAUUUGGACUUGCGGGAGCGUGUCUCAGAUGGCUACAUUAUCGGGGUUUUCGGAUUUCCUCUUCAUAUGUUAUUCUAUAGUCGAGCUGAUUGAAGUGUACUGUUGCAACUUGUGUGUAUGUGUUUACCAAUGCUGCAGUAGGUAAAUGAAUUUUAAUGGGCAUACACAUUAGAAGAAAUCAAUGUGUUUCACGAUGAAAUAUGAUUUACAAGUGCAUGAGGAAGGACAUUUUCUUUGAACUUACUGUUUGCAAAUUCUCAGAUAGGGAUUUAUAUGUACACAGACUUAGUAGGUUCAGUCUCUUCACAUUCAUUUUAUCAUAUUGCGGAUGCCACCAUCCCAAAUGAUUUUUUCACCAGAAAUUCAUGGAUAUACAGUUUGUGAUGUGUUCUCUGCUCCAUUGCCUGUGACCACUGGCCCCUCAGCUUGCAGAUGCCGCCGUCAUUGCUUGGUUGGGAUGGGCGCCACGAGAUUUGGUGUGGUCGAGCACCAUCGAGGGCCUAUCAUCAGCAAUCAAUUACGCUUCGCAACACAUUUUUGGUUAAAAUGGUAGUGAUGUUUCAAAUAUGACCUUGCUGCAUCUGGUCCUUCCAAAGUCUGCUGGGUUCCUACAUGUGUCCAGAUCUAUGUAACUAUUGACUACACACGAGUGGUGAACUUAAGUAUUGAGCGAGGGAAGAAAAUGUCACCAAGAUUACUUCAGUUAAAGGAAGAGGCCUACCGCUAUGACUUCGAUGGGAAUCCUACAGAUUACGAGGUUUGAUCAUCGUUACCUGAACUAUCACUACUUGUGUGUCAGUACCUCUGGUCUCUGUUUCGAGUAUUGAUCUCUGAUCAUGGAGUCAUUGUGUUUGAACAGCUUUGCUUUAAACCUGAAUGGUACCCACUCCAUGUGUUUAGCUAUUGUAAUCUCUGAACAAUGUGUUCAUGUCUGUAUUGUAAUAUAUUUUCCUAUUUUCUCACUUGUGUUUGGCACAUUUCUCUACUUCAUUAUCUGUAAUUACCUCUCUGAUGGUGAAUGGAAUGUUAACCACUCAUGUUUCCUCUA
Non-coding RNA from Lolium perenne, 2132 nucleotides. Lineage: Eukaryota; Viridiplantae; Streptophyta; Magnoliopsida; Poales; Poaceae. The record is from RefSeq and is a predicted model, not a curated record.